RNAcentral lists this ribosomal RNA (184 nucleotides) under alpha proteobacterium 6.6-VPa. Its description in RNAcentral is "partial 16S ribosomal RNA". It matches the Rfam family "Bacterial small subunit ribosomal RNA", at positions 560 to 743 of the family's 1533-position model. Lineage: Bacteria; Pseudomonadati; Pseudomonadota; Alphaproteobacteria. The record is from RNAcentral.
GUAAAGCGCACAUAUGCUGACUUUUAAGUCACGGGUGAAAUCCCAGGGCUCAGCCCCGGAACUGCCUUUCAUACUGUAAGUCCUGACUUCAAUAAAGGUGAGUGGAAUUGCAAGUGUAGAGGUGAAAUUCGUAGAUCUUAUCACGAGCACCACUGGCAAAGGCAGCUCACUGGCUCGAUACUGA